Molecule: ribosomal RNA, 576 nt
Filed under: uncultured Thermoplasmatales archaeon
Lineage: Archaea; Methanobacteriati; Thermoplasmatota; Thermoplasmata; Thermoplasmatales
Description: bacterial SSU rRNA
Rfam family: Archaeal small subunit ribosomal RNA
Source: RNAcentral
UCGCGAAAACUUCGCAAUGGGAGCAAUCCCGACGAGGGGAUUCCAAGUGCCAGCACUUAGUGUUGGCUGUUCUCCUGUCUAAAAAACAGGAGAAGUAAGGGCCGGGUAAGACGGGUGCCAGCCGCCGCGGUAAUACCCGCGGCCCGAGUGGUGGUCGAUAUUAUUGAGCCUAAAACGUCCGUAGCCGGUCUCGCAAAUCCCUGGGUAAAUCGGCCAGCUUAACUGUCCGAACUCCGGGGAGACUGCGAGGCUUGGGACCGGGAGAGGUCAGAGGUACUUCCAGGGUAGGGGUAAAAUCCUGUAAUCCCGGAAGGACCACCGGUGGCGAAGGCGUCUGACUAGAACGGAUCCGACGGUGAGGGACGAAGCCCUGGGGCGCAAACGGGAUUAGAUACCCCGGUAGUCCAGGGUGUAAACGCUGCGGGCUUGGUGUUGGGGGUCCUUUGAGGGCGCCCAGUGCCGGAGAGAAGUUGUUAAGCCUGCUGCUUGGGGAGUACGUCCGCAAGGAUGAAACUUAAAGGAAUUGGCGGGGGAGCACCGCAACGGGAGGAGCGUGCGGUUCAAUUGGAUUCAACG